This 497-nucleotide ribosomal RNA is filed under the name uncultured bacterium. Its description in RNAcentral is "partial 16S ribosomal RNA". It matches the Rfam family "Bacterial small subunit ribosomal RNA", at positions 28 to 507 of the family's 1533-position model. The record is from RNAcentral.
GAUGAACGCUGGCGGCGUGCCUAAUACAUGCAAGUCGAGCGAACAGAUGAGGAGCUUGCUCCUCUGACGUUAGCGGCGGACGGGUGAGUAACACGUGGAUAACCUGCCUAUAAGACUGGGAUAACUUCGGGAAACCGGAGCUAAUACCGGAUAAUAUAUUGAACCGCAUGGUUCAAUAGUGAAAGACGGUUUUGCUGUCACUUAUAGAUGGAUCCGCGCCGCAUUAGCUAGUUGGUAAGGUAACGGCUUACCAAGGCAACGAUGCGUAGCCGACCUGAGAGGGUGAUCGGCCACACUGGAACUGAGACACGGUCCAGACUCCUACGGGAGGCAGCAGUAGGGAAUCUUCCGCAAUGGGCGAAAGCCUGACGGAGCAACGCCGCGUGAGUGAUGAAGGUCUUCGGAUCGUAAAACUCUGUUAUUAGGGAAGAACAAAUGUGUAAGUAACUAUGCACGCCUUGACGGUACCUAAUCAGAAAGCCACGGCUAACUACGUG